RNAcentral lists this ribosomal RNA (450 nucleotides) under uncultured bacterium. RNAcentral describes it as "bacterial SSU rRNA". It matches the Rfam family "Bacterial small subunit ribosomal RNA", at positions 28 to 475 of the family's 1533-position model. The record is from RNAcentral.
GACGAACGCUGGCGGCGUGCCUAACACAUGCAAGUCGAACGGAACUGUUUUGAAAGAUUUUUUCGGAAUGAAUUUGAUUUAGUUUAGUGGCGGACGGGUGAGUAACGCGUGAGUAACCUGCCUUCAAGAGGGGGAUAACAUUCUGAAAAGAAUGCUAAUACCGCAUGAUAUAUCGGAAUCACAUGGUUUUGAUAUCAAAGAUUUUAUCGCUUGAAGAUGGACUCGCGUCCGAUUAGUUAGUUGGUGAGGUAACGGCUCACCAAGACCGCGAUCGGUAGCCGGACUGAGAGGUUGAACGGCCACAUUGGGACUGAGACACGGCCCAGACUCCUACGGGAGGCAGCAGUGGGGGAUAUUGCGCAAUGGGGGCAACCCUGACGCAGCAACGCCGCGUGAAGGAUGAAGGUUUUCGGAUUGUAAACUUCUUUUAUUAAGGACGAAAAAUGACGG